Non-coding RNA from Pelobates cultripes (western spadefoot toad), 282 nucleotides. NCBI's taxonomy places the organism in Eukaryota, Metazoa, Chordata, Amphibia, Anura, Pelobatidae. The record is from the annotation of a GenBank genome assembly.
AUCUUCUUUAAAUUUAGGAAUAUUAAGGCACAUUGCUUGCGAUUUACUUGUAUUGAUCUUAUAGUACGAGUUUGUACUAUACAAAAAUAAUUCUUUCUUUAAAUUUGGUAAAGAGAUAUGUGGCUGAGUAAUUGUUAACAAAAUGUCGUCUGCAUAAGCGUUAAGUUUAUAUUCGUUCCGCCCUAUUUGAACUCCCUGUAUAUCUUCAUUUUGCCGUAUUGCUGUAAGUAAAGGCUCUAAAGCAAGAACAUAGAGCAACGGCGAUAGGGGACAGCCCUGACG